GACGAACGCUGGCGGCGUGCUUAACACAUGCAAGUCGAACGGAAAGGCCCUGCUUGCAUGGUACUCUAGUGGCGAACGGGUGAGUAACACGUGGGUGAUCUGCCCUGCACUUCGGGGUAAGCCUUGGAAACUGUGUCUAAUACCGGAUAUGAGCCAUUUUGAUUGAUAUGGUUGGAAAGUUUUUUGGGUGUAGGAUGAGCCUGCGGCCUAUCAGCUUGUUGGUGGGGUAAUGGCCUACCAAGGCGGCGAAGGGUAGCCGGCCGGAGAGGGUGGACGGCCCAAUUGGGGACGGGAUAAGGCCCAGAACUCCAAGGGAGGGAGGAGGGGGGAAAUAUGGCAAAAGGGCGGGAGCCCGAUGCCGCGAACGCCCGGGGGGGAUGACGGGCUUCGGGUUGGAAAAUCCCUUCGGUAGGGAAGAAGCUUUUUGUGACGGUAACUAGAUAAGAAGCACCGGCUAACUACGUG
This 465-nucleotide ribosomal RNA is filed under the name uncultured bacterium. RNAcentral's name for it is "partial 16S ribosomal RNA". It matches the Rfam family "Bacterial small subunit ribosomal RNA", at positions 28 to 507 of the family's 1533-position model. The record is from RNAcentral.